UGGGGAAUAUUGCACAAUGGGGGAAACCCUGAUGCAGCGACGCCGCGUGAACGAAGAAGGUAUUCGUAUCGUAAAGUUCUGUCCUAUGGGAAGAUAAUGACAGUACCAUAGAAGAAAGCUCCGGCUAAAUACGUGCCAGCAGCCGCGGUAAUACGUAUGGAGCGAGCGUUGUCCGGAAUUAUUGGGCGUAAAGGGUACGCAGGCGGUUUAAUAGUCGAAUGUUAAAGAUCGGGGCUCAACCCCGCAAAGCAUUGGAAACUGAUAAACUUGAGUAGUGGAGAGGAAAGUGGAAUUCCUAGUGUAGUGGUGAAAUACGUAGAUAUUAGGAGGAAUACCAGUAGCGAAGGCGACUUUCUGGACACAAACUGACGCUGAGGUACGAAAGCGUGGGGAGCAAACAGG
RNAcentral lists this ribosomal RNA (402 nucleotides) under bacterium. RNAcentral describes it as "partial 16S ribosomal RNA". It matches the Rfam family "Bacterial small subunit ribosomal RNA", at positions 355 to 776 of the family's 1533-position model. The record is from RNAcentral.